AUUACCCAAUCCUGACACGGGGAGGUAGUGACAAGAAAUAACAAUACAGGGCAAUUGUCUUGUAAUUGGAAUGAUGGUGACGUAAAAUCUCACCAGAGUAACAAUUGGAGGGCAAGUCUGGUGCCAGCAGCCGCGGUAAUUCCAGCUCCAAUAGCGUAUAUUAAACUUGUUGCAGUUAAAAAGCUCGUAGUUGAAUUUCUGCGUUGCCCGACUCGGCUACUUGCCUUGUCUGGUUUCGCUUUUGGGGUUUUCCCCUUUUUACUUUGAGAAAAUUAGAGUGUUUCAAGCAGACUUGUGUCUUGAAUACUUCAGCAUGGAAUAAUAAAGUAGGACUUUGGUUCUAUUUUGUUGGUUUGUGAACCUUAGUAAUGGUUAAUAGGAACGGUUGGGGGCAUUCGUAUUUAA
RNAcentral lists this ribosomal RNA (405 nucleotides) under Babesia gibsoni. RNAcentral's name for it is "SSU rRNA". It matches the Rfam family "Eukaryotic small subunit ribosomal RNA", at positions 440 to 901 of the family's 1831-position model. The record is from RNAcentral. Lineage: Eukaryota; Apicomplexa; Aconoidasida; Piroplasmida; Babesiidae.